GACGAACGCUGGCGGCGUGCUUAACACAUGCAAGUCGAACGGAAAGGCCUCUUUCGGGGGGUACUCGAGUGGCGAACGGGUGAGUAACACGUGAGUAACCUGCCCUUGACUUUGGGAUAACUUCAGGAAACUGGGGCUAAUACCGGAUAGGAGCUCCUGCUGCAUGGUGGGGGUUGGAAAGUUUCGGCGGUUGGGGAUGGACUCGCGGCUUAUCAGCUUGUUGGUGGGGUAGUGGCUUACCAAGGCUUUGACGGGUAGCCGGCCUGAGAGGGUGACCGGCCACAUUGGGACUGAGAUACGGCCCAGACUCCUACGGGAGGCAGCAGUGGGGAAUAUUGCACAAUGGGUGGAAGCCUGAUGCAGCAACGCCGUGUGUGGGAUGACGGCCUUCGGGUUGUAAACCGCUUUCGCUCAUGACGAAGCUUUGUGUGACGGUAGUGGGUAAAGAAGCACCGGCUAACUACGUG
Molecule: ribosomal RNA, 467 nt
Filed under: uncultured bacterium
Lineage: Bacteria
Description: partial 16S ribosomal RNA
Rfam family: Bacterial small subunit ribosomal RNA
Source: RNAcentral